This 2899-nucleotide ribosomal RNA is filed under the name Streptococcus pneumoniae GA04175. RNAcentral's name for it is "bacterial LSU rRNA". It matches the Rfam family "Bacterial large subunit ribosomal RNA". The record is from RNAcentral. Lineage: Bacteria; Bacillati; Bacillota; Bacilli; Lactobacillales; Streptococcaceae.
UAAGUUAAUAAGGGCGCACGGUGGAUGCCUUGGCACUAGGAGCCGACGAAGGACGUGACAAACGACGAUAUGCCUUGGGUAGCUGUAAGUAAGCGAUGAUCCAGGGAUUUCCGAAUGGGGGAACCCAACAGGUAAUACCUGUUACCUACAUCUGUUAAGGAUGUGAGGAGGAAGACGCAGUGAACUGAAACAUCUAAGUAGCUGCAGGAAGAGAAAGCAAAAGCGAUUGCCUUAGUAGCGGCGAGCGAAACGGCAGAAGGGCAAACCGAAGAGUUUACUCUUCGGGGUUGUAGGACUGCAAUGUGGACUCAAAGAUUAUAGAAGAAUGAUUUGGGAAGAUCAGCCAAAGAGAGUAAUAGCCUCGUAUUUAAAAUAGUCUUUGUACUUAGCAGUAUCCUGAGUACGGCGGGACACGUGAAAUCCCGUCGGAAUCUGGGAGGACCAUCUCCCAACCCUAAAUACUCCCUAGUGACCGAUAGUGAACCAGUACCGUGAGGGAAAGGUGAAAAGCACCCCGGGAGGGGAGUGAAAUAGAACCUGAAACCGUGUGCCUACAACAAGUUCGAGCCCGUUAAUGGGUGAGAGCGUGCCUUUUGUAGAAUGAACCGGCGAGUUACGUUAUGAUGCGAGGUUAAGUUGAAGAGACGGAGCCGUAGGGAAACCGAGUCUGAAUAGGGCGCCUUAGUAUCAUGACGUAGACCCGAAACCAUGUGACCUACCCAUGAGCAGGUUGAAGGUGCGGUAAGACGCACUGGAGGACCGAACCAGGGCACGUUGAAAAGUGCUUGGAUGACUUGUGGGUAGCGGAGAAAUUCCAAACGAACUUGGAGAUAGCUGGUUCUCUCCGAAAUAGCUUUAGGGCUAGCGUCGACAUUAGAGAUUCUUGGAGGUAGAGCACUGUUUGGGUGAGGGGUCCAUCCCGGAUUACCAAUCUCAGAUAAACUCCGAAUGCCAAUGAAUUAUGGUCGGCAGUCAGACUGCGAGUGCUAAGAUCCGUAGUCGAAAGGGAAACAGCCCAGACCACCAGCUAAGGUCCCAAAAUAAUUGUUAAGAGGAAAAAGGAUGUGGGGUUGCACAGACAACUAGGAUGUUAGCUUAGAAGCAGCUAUUCAUUCAAAGAGUGCGUAAUAGCUCACUAGUCGAGUGACCCUGCGCCGAAAAUGUACCGGGGCUAAAACAAUUUACCGAAGCUGUGGAUACCUUUAUAGGUAUGGUAGGAGAGCGUUCUAUGUGUGAUGAAGGUAUACCGUGAGGAGUGCUGGAACGCAUAGAAGUGAGAAUGCCGGUAUGAGUAGCGAAAGACAGGUGAGAAUCCUGUCCACCGUAAGACUAAGGUUUCCAGGGGAAGGCUCGUCCGCCCUGGGUUAGUCGGGACCUAAGGAGAGACCGAAAGGUGUAUCCGAUGGACAACAGGUUGAUAUUCCUGUACUAGAGUAUGUAGUGAUGGAGGGACGCAGUAGGCUAACUAAAGCAGACGAUUGGAAGAGUCUGUCUAAGCAGUGAGGUGUGAAUUGAGUCAAAUGCUUAAUUCUAUAACAUUGAGCUGUGAUGGGGAGCGAAGUUUAGUAGCGAAGUUAGUGACGUCACACUGCCAAGAAAAGCUUCUAGCGUUUAAACAUACUCUACCCGUACCGCAAACCGACACAGGUAGUCGAGGCGAGUAGCCUCAGGUGAGCGAGAGAACUCUCGUUAAGGAACUCGGCAAAAUGACCCCGUAACUUCGGGAGAAGGGGUGCUGACUUAAAGUCAGCCGCAGUGAAUAGGCCCAAGCAACUGUUUAUCAAAAACACAGCUCUCUGCUAAAUCGUAAGAUGAUGUAUAGGGGGUGACGCCUGCCCGGUGCUGGAAGGUUAAGAGGAGUGCUUAGCGUAAGCGAAGGUAUGAAUUGAAGCCCCAGUAAACGGCGGCCGUAACUAUAACGGUCCUAAGGUAGCGAAAUUCCUUGUCGGGUAAGUUCCGACCCGCACGAAAGGCGUAAUGAUUUGGGCACUGUCUCAACGAGAGACUCGGUGAAAUUUUAGUACCUGUGAAGAUGCAGGUUACCCGCGACAGGACGGAAAGACCCCAUGGAGCUUUACUGCAGUUUGAUAUUGAGUGUCUGUACCACAUGUACAGGAUAGGUAGGAGUCUAAGAGAUCGGGACGCCAGUUUCGAAGGAGACGCUGUUGGGAUACUACCCUUGUGUUAUGGCCACUCUAACCCAGAUAGGUGAUCCCUAUCGGAGACAGUGUCUGACGGGCAGUUUGACUGGGGCGGUCGCCUCCUAAAAGGUAACGGAGGCGCCCAAAGGUUCCCUCAGAAUGGUUGGAAAUCAUUCGCAGAGUGUAAAGGUAUAAGGGAGCUUGACUGCGAGAGCUACAACUCGAGCAGGGACGAAAGUCGGGCUUAGUGAUCCGGUGGUUCCGUAUGGAAGGGCCAUCGCUCAACGGAUAAAAGCUACCCUGGGGAUAACAGGCUUAUCUCCCCCAAGAGUUCACAUCGACGGGGAGGUUUGGCACCUCGAUGUCGGCUCGUCGCAUCCUGGGGCUGUAGUCGGUCCCAAGGGUUGGGCUGUUCGCCCAUUAAAGCGGCACGCGAGCUGGGUUCAGAACGUCGUGAGACAGUUCGGUCCCUAUCCGUCGCGGGCGUAGGAAAUUUGAGAGGAUCUGCUCUUAGUACGAGAGGACCAGAGUGGACUUACCGCUGGUGUACCAGUUGUCUUGCCAAAGGCAUCGCUGGGUAGCUAUGUAGGGAAGGGAUAAACGCUGAAAGCAUCUAAGUGUGAAACCCACCUCAAGAUGAGAUUUCCCAUGAUUAUAUAUCAGUAAGAGCCCUGAGAGAUGAUCAGGUAGAUAGGUUAGAAGUGGAAGUGUGGCGACACAUGUAGCGGACUAAUACUAAUAGCUCGAGGACUUAUCCA